RNAcentral lists this ribosomal RNA (104 nucleotides) under Crocodylus porosus (Australian saltwater crocodile). The record is from RNAcentral. Lineage: Eukaryota; Metazoa; Chordata; Crocodylia; Crocodylidae.
CAUGCCAGCCUGAAAGCACCGGAUCUCCUCUGAUCUUGGAAACUAAGCACUCCUAGGCAUGGGCAGUUCUUGAACAGGAGACCACAGUGGAAUCCCAAGCAUGA